GGAGCUUAUUAUACUCAGACACUGUCAGGAACAAUAAAUGGGCUACAAGAGAAAUAAAACCUGCAAGAAUCCAACAAAAAGGGAACUCGCUAAUUAUUUCAGGUGCAACAACAAGUAUACACAACAAGUUGCUAGAGAAAAGCAUGGUCAGAAAUUUCCCCAGGGAGAAUCCAGAUAUCACAUUGUCAGAAAUUCGCCGAUGGGCUACAAACACUUGGAAGCACAACCAUGGCAUCAACAUUUACGACAUGGGGCAAAAUCAAUUUCUCUUCGAGUUCCCCAACAAAACUGACGCAGAUCACAUUGUCAGAGGUAAUUGGUUCUGGAAAUCUCACAAAAUCAUUCUACAGUGGUGGUCACCGACUUCAAACUCCAUAGAUGAAAGGCUGGACCAGGUCUGGAUCAGAAUAGUAGGAUUACCCCUCAAAUUGUGGUCUCAGAAAGUUUUACGUGAGGUUGGUAACCUGUGUGGUGGGUGGAUACAAACUGAAAAAAUAACAGAGUUGCGAAAUCACCUGAAGUGGGCAAGGAUUAAGGUGAAAGGAGAUGGCGAUUCAGUCCCAAAAUCAAAGUCCAAAUCUGGGUUGAGGCUCCAGCAAGAGUGAUUUCUGAUGAACGUGAAGAAGCACUUUCAAAGACCCUCUGAAGAAGAGACCAAGAGACCAAAUAUAAAGGGGAUAGAGGACAGCUAGGGUUUACAGAAGUGUCAGGACAAGUGGGUCCCUCUGAUCACUCAGCUAUUUUGAAUUUGCCAGCUAUUCCAGCAUGUGAGCCUGCACGUGAGGCUGAGGUUAAUUUAAUUGCCCCUCAAAAGAAAAGUAGGCCAGCAAACAAGGGGAGCAAUAAAUUGGGCCCAGAC
RNAcentral lists this long non-coding RNA (859 nucleotides) under Capsicum annuum. RNAcentral describes it as "long non-coding RNA (CANN_LNC020981)". The record is from RNAcentral. Lineage: Eukaryota; Viridiplantae; Streptophyta; Magnoliopsida; Solanales; Solanaceae.